UGAGGAAUUUUGCGCAAUGGGCGAAAGCCUGACGCAGCGACGCCGCGUGAACGAUGAAGUCCUUCGGGAUGUAAAGUUCUGUCAGCAGGGACAAUGAUGAUGGUACCUGCAGAGGAAGGCCCGGCAAACUAUGUGCCAGCAGCCGCGGUAAUACAUAGGGGUCAAGCGUUGUCCGGAUUUACUGGGCGUAAAGGGCUCGUAGGCGGCGAGACAAGUCAGAAUUUAAAGGCAAGAGCUCAACUCUUGUUCGGUUCUGAAACUAUCUUGCUUGAGAUUGGGAGAGGAAGACGGAAUUAACAGUGUAGCGGUGAAAUGCGUAGAUAUUGUUAAGAACACCGUGGCGAAGGCGGUCUUCUGGCCAAAUCUGACGCUGAGGAGCGAAAGCGUGGGAGCAAACAGG
RNAcentral lists this ribosomal RNA (400 nucleotides) under uncultured bacterium. RNAcentral's name for it is "bacterial SSU rRNA". It matches the Rfam family "Bacterial small subunit ribosomal RNA", at positions 355 to 776 of the family's 1533-position model. The record is from RNAcentral.